GUGUCAGCCGCCGCGGUAAUACGUAGGGGGCGAGCGUUGUCCGGAUUUAUUGGGCGUAAAGAGCUCGUAGGCGGUUUGGCAAGUCGGGUGUGAAAACUCCGGGCUCAACUCGGAGACGCCACUCGAUACUGCCAUGACUCGAGUCCGGUAGGGGAGUGCGGAAUUCCUGGUGUAGCGGUGAAAUGCGCAGAUAUCAGGAGGAACACCGGUGGCGAAGGCGGCACUCUGGGCCGGUACUGACGCUGAGGAGCGAAAGCGUGGGGAGCGAACAGGAUUAGAAACCCCCGUAGUCC
Molecule: ribosomal RNA, 293 nt
Filed under: uncultured bacterium
Lineage: Bacteria
Description: partial 16S ribosomal RNA
Rfam family: Bacterial small subunit ribosomal RNA
Source: RNAcentral